GGGUGAAAACACGUGGGUAACCUGCCUGUAAGACUGGGAUAACUCCGGGAAACCGGAGCUAAUACCGGAUAGUUCCUUGAACCGCAUGGUUCAAGGAUGAAAGACGGUUUCGGCUGUCACUUACAGAUGGACCCGCGGCGCAUUAGCUAGUUGGUGGGGUAAUGGCUCACCAAGGCGACGAUGCGUAGCCGACCUGAGAGGGUGAUCGGCCACACUGGGACUGAGACACGGCCCAGACUCCUACGGGAGGCAGCAGUAGGGAAUCUUCCGCAAUGGACGAAAGUCUGACGGAGCAACGCCGCGUGAGUGAUGAAGGUUUUCGGAUCGUAAAGCUCUGUUGUUAGGGAAGAACAAGUGCGAGAGUAACUGCUCGCACCUUGACGGUACCUAACCAGAAAGCCACGGCUAACUACGUGCCAGCAGCCGCGGUAAUACGUAGGUGGCAAGCGUUGUCCGGAAUUAUUGGGCGUAAAGGGCUCGCAGGCGGUUUCUUAAGUCUGAUGUGAAAGCCCCCGGCUCAACCGGGGAGGGUCAUUGGAAACUGGGAAACUUGAGUGCAGAAGAGGAGAGUGGAAUUCCACGUGUAGCGGUGAAAUGCGUAGAGAUGUGGAGGAACACCAGUGGCGAAGGCGACUCUCUGGUCUGUAACUGACGCUGAGGAGCGAAAGCGUGGGGAGCGAACAGGAUUAGAUACCCUGGU
Molecule: ribosomal RNA, 700 nt
Filed under: Bacillus pumilus
Lineage: Bacteria; Bacillati; Bacillota; Bacilli; Caryophanales; Bacillaceae
Description: bacterial SSU rRNA
Rfam family: Bacterial small subunit ribosomal RNA
Source: RNAcentral